CCCUUAGAUGUCCUGGGCCGCACGCGCGUUACACUGAUGCAUUCAACGAGCUUAUAACCUUUGCCGAGAGGCCUGGGCAAUCUUGUUAACGUGCAUCGUGAUAGGGAUAGAUUAUUGAAAUUAUUAAUCUUGAACGAGGAAUUCCUAGUAAACGCAGAUCAUCAAUCUGCAUUGAUUACGUCCCUGCCCUUUGUACACACCGCCCGUCGCACCUACCGAUUGGAUGGUCCGGUGAAGCCUCGGGAUUGUGGUUCUUGCCGCUUUAUUGUGGCGUGACCGCGAGAACUUGUCUAAACCUUAUCAUCUAGAGGAAGGUGAAGUCGUAACA
RNAcentral lists this ribosomal RNA (328 nucleotides) under uncultured eukaryote. RNAcentral describes it as "partial 18S ribosomal RNA". It matches the Rfam family "Eukaryotic small subunit ribosomal RNA", at positions 1470 to 1796 of the family's 1831-position model. The record is from RNAcentral.